Multifurca ochricompacta is the source of this 71-nucleotide non-coding RNA. Lineage: Eukaryota; Fungi; Basidiomycota; Agaricomycetes; Russulales; Russulaceae. The record is from the annotation of a GenBank genome assembly.
GCAUUAAUGGGGUAGUGGUAACCUGGGUCGUUGCCAUCGACCCGCCCUGGGUUCGAUUCCCAGUUAAUGCA